Odocoileus virginianus texanus is the source of this 426-nucleotide non-coding RNA. NCBI's taxonomy places the organism in Eukaryota, Metazoa, Chordata, Mammalia, Artiodactyla, Cervidae. The record is from RefSeq and is a predicted model, not a curated record.
GGUCAGUAACUGGACACAGAAGAUGGCAGAGCUGGGUGAGGUGGACGAAGCCGAGUUGCAACGCCUGGUGGUGACCGAACAGCAGAAAGCGCAGUUCGCUGCACAGGUGCAUCACUUCAUGGAGCUAUGUUGGGAUAAAUGUGUGGAGAAGCCAGGGAAUCGCUUAGACUCUCGCACUGAAAAUUGUCUCUCUAGCUGUGUGGACCGCUUCAUUGACACUACUCUUGCUGUCACCAGUCGGUUUGCCCAGAUUGUACAGAAAGGAGGGCAGUAAGCCAUCCCCUGGAAGAAUGACAGAAGCAGCAAAGGACUUAUUAAGCAGACUGAAGGGUCAGUGGGGGAAGGUUGUCAACCCUCUGUCAGGUUAACUUCAGGCUAUUACCAAGCCUGUUGGUGCUAAAAAGUAACAGAUCAAAUGUUCAAAAA